Non-coding RNA from Misgurnus anguillicaudatus (oriental weatherfish), 1688 nucleotides. NCBI's taxonomy places the organism in Eukaryota, Metazoa, Chordata, Actinopteri, Cypriniformes, Cobitidae. The record is from RefSeq and is a predicted model, not a curated record.
CAAAUUGUACAGCUAGAAUUUUGGUAAGAGGGUUUUACAUUUUUCACAUUUAGUAAAUAAAAUUUAUUAAGGCUUAUAAAAUUCCAAAAUCAGACUUAAAAAAAAUCACUUUAAAGGCACACUAGCUGGAAUCACUGCUAUAUGGGACUGACAAAGAUGUUAAAAAUAGUAUUUUUUUCUUAUAAGUUAUUUAAUUUUUUACAAAUGUUAAAACAUUCCCCUUUAAGUAUAUCGACGUAUGCCUAAUAAUUAUUGUAACUGUAUCACAUUAAAUACUCGUACAUUUUAUUAUUGUACUUUGCCAGCAUCGGCCUCUCAAGAGUUAACGAGACGACUAGGAGAUGCUUCGAAGCGGAAAGAGAGAGUGCAAGGCGAUCAUACACAAGAAGGGCAUGGGGAGAAAGUGGCAACCAAAACGAAUGCUAACUGAGCAGUCCUUUGGGGAUUUGCAAGAAAGAUCUGCUAAAUUAACUACCGAUACUAACUAAUCAUAGGUCAAACAUCAUAUUCCUUUUCACAUUUCGCGCUGGAUGGUUUAGCCAUAACCACCAGACCCCUUUAGAAUAUGGAUUCACCCAGAGGUAUAAAUUAGAAGUCAAAAGAAAAUUCGGAUAGACUUGUGUACCCCUACUUGCCUUCCACGACAACAUUGUUCACAGAAUAUUGCUAAAAAUAUUAUUAUAUAAAUAAAGGCAAGAAACCAAUAUAACAAUUUACACCAAUAACCAGUCUAAAAGAAAGCUUCACAAAAAUUUAAAAUUUUAUUCAGUUCGAGUUUAUUGGGUAUAACAACAUUGAAUCAGGUUAUGUAGAAAACCCAGGAGAGGUCUGCGCACUCCCUUCCCAGAAGAUUUAAUUUGGAUCAGACUCAAAAACUGAGAGAACCUCGUGGAUUUGUUUACAUUGAAUGGCAAAGUAGGGCCACCGCCAUGGGGCUGUCUAUUCAUUAAUUUCCAGCGGAUUUUGGUCUAAAUUACUGCUAUGCAUUUCAUACUGCUCGCUUUCAAAGGGCGUCUCGUGCGGCCAUAAGAAACGUGAUAUCCAGAAUGAGAAAAAGGAUUCACUCACUCUGAGGAGUCAAAGCAAUUUCAGGCGUUCAAGCCUUCAACUUUUGAAGUUUAAUGUUUUUAUCCGAAAAGUAGGCUGUUUAUUAUUUAUUUGUUUAUGUAACAAGGUCCCCGUGUUCCCUGCUGGGGAGAUCAUUUGUUUUCUGUGCAAGUGGAGAGGGAAAAAUCCCCAAGUAUAACAAGAGACGAACAGUUAGUGCUGAUUUUCAUUUGCAUAAAUUUUCAUAUAUUUUAGUGAAAAUAAUAGCGGUGCAGAGGAGAGCUCCGCUCAGUUGAGUCAGAGGGAAGAAAAUCUUAGGAAGGACCAAAUCGGAGGGAGAGAGUCGUACACUAAUGGAGGCGCAAUGCUUUAUUUGAGACAUUUUUUCAGUUAUCAUGGAAUCACAAGAAAAGAAGCCUCAGCUCUUCCAUCUUCCCUCCCUUCUCCGGAUAGGUCUCCACAACUGCCCCAGAUUCCUUCUGCUGCAUUGGGACGUGGGACAUAGUGGCCACGCUGUGAGCGCAGGCACACACACAUGCACACACAACUUCCAUUUUCAGCUUACACUGCUGCUGGAGCUUUUAGCCUGCUGGCUAUUUUUCUUUGAGAGACUAUAAAAAUAUGCAAAUGCUGUUGUUAAA